Molecule: RNase P RNA, 327 nt
Filed under: Clostridiales bacterium
Lineage: Bacteria; Bacillati; Bacillota; Clostridia; Eubacteriales
Description: partial RNase P RNA component class A
Rfam family: Bacterial RNase P class A
About the family: Ribonuclease P (RNase P) is a ubiquitous endoribonuclease, found in archaea, bacteria and eukarya as well as chloroplasts and mitochondria. Its best characterised activity is the generation of mature 5'-ends of tRNAs by cleaving the 5'-leader elements of precursor-tRNAs.
Source: RNAcentral
CGAGUAAGUCAGAUGGUCGCGGGGGCCCAAUUGGGCCAACGAGGAAAGUCCGAGCUCCAUAGGGCAAAGGUGCCGGGUAAUACCCGGUGGAGGCGACUCCAAGGAUAGUGCAACAGAAAUAAACCGCCCAGCACUUAACUAAGCAUAGCAGUACAGCUAGUCUUCAUUAAUCCGACGUUUUGGGGUAGUGAAAAACGGAUUGCUGUGUUCGGUUAAGUGCUGGGCAAGGGUGGAAAGGUGAGGUAAGAGCUCACCAGCGUGCUGGCGACUGCACGGCUCUGUAAACCCCACCUGGAGCAAGACCAAGCAGGGACGAAAAAAGCGGCG